Non-coding RNA from Phoenix dactylifera (date palm), 2373 nucleotides. The record is from RefSeq and is a predicted model, not a curated record. Lineage: Eukaryota; Viridiplantae; Streptophyta; Magnoliopsida; Arecales; Arecaceae.
CGGGGCCCACCUCCUCGACGUGUUAUUUAAAUCGGUUUUCUUUGGAGGGUGCUAAAAGUAGAGCAAAGGAGAGGUACCUUCCAUUCGUAUCACGUUCCCGGCCUCCUUCCCCCUUUCAACUACCUCUUCUCUCCUCUCCUCUCCUCUCCUUUCCUUUCAUCCCCUGUUCUCUCCUCUCCUUCCCUCUGCGAAAGAGAGUACCCAUCAACUCACAUUAUUUGAUAUGAACUUGUUUAACACGAACCACCCAUUUGUCUGCUUUCCGUGGUUCCUCAUAACUCCUCAAAACCAAGGAAGCGAAGUCCUCAAGGAUUUUUCCAUCAAAUAAAGCGACAGUUGGGGAAGAAGUACUCCUUCCUUUGAUCUUGGAAGAGAAAAGAGGCCUUCGCCAUUGAUAUAUUCUACAGGGACUUGAUACCAACACGUACCACUCAAAGCCCAGAAGGACAUAUAAUAAGUAAACUAGAUGCAAGGGCCAACGAUCUAAGGAGGAUCGGUUUCUCAUUGCCAUUCUUCCAUGGUGCAGUCUGGCCGAGAGGAAUGGGCUUUGCGACGAGCAUUGGGAAAUACCACCUUGGCCGGACUAUUGGGGAGGGCAACUUCGCCAAGGUCAAGCUGGCUGUGAACACCGAGACGAAUAAGAACGUCGCCGUUAAGAUCAUCGAUAAGAAGAUGGUGUUGCAGAACAAGCUGAUGUAUCAGGUCAAGAGAGAAAUCAGCACAAUGAAGCUUCUGCAUCACCCAAACAUUGUAAAGAUAUACGAGGUAAUUGCGACGAAGACCAGGAUUUAUCUUGUAAUGGAGUAUGUCCCUGGAGGACAACUUUCUGAUAAGUUGUACUAUCUGAAGAGGUUAGAUGAGAGAGAGGCAAGGAAGUUCUUUCAGCAGCUGAUCGAUGCCAUGGAUUACUGCCAUGGCAGAGGAGUUUACCACAGAGAUCUGAAGCCAGAGAACCUGCUUUUAGAUGGCAAGGGCAACCUAAAGGUAUCCGAUUUUGGGCUCUGUGUAUUGAGAAAGCCAGGAGACUUGUUGUCGACCGCCUGUGGAUCUCCGAGUUAUGUGGCUCCUGAGGUGAUAGUCCACAAGCAUUAUGAGGGAGCAGCUGCUGAUGUAUGGUCUUGUGGAGUGAUUCUGUUUGAAUUGCUUGCAGGCUACCUACCUUUUGAAGAUCGCAGCCUGAUGAACUUGUAUAGAAAGAUAUCUAGAGCAGAAUAUACAUGCCCCUAUUGGUUCACAGCCUCCCAAAGAAAGCUAAUUUCCAAGAUGCUGGAUCCCUUGCCAACCAAGCGGGCCACGAUAGCCAAGAUUCUCGAAGAUGAGUGGUUUCGGGUGGAUUAUGAGCCUUCAGCAGGAUACGAAAAUGAUGAGGACCUGAAUUCAGAUGAUAUCAGCAAUACAAUGGACAGUGAAAAUGAGAGAACCAAUCGGACAGUGGAAGGAAAACUACAUAGAUUUAUCAAUGCUUUCCAACUCAUAGCAAUGUCCAGUGACCUUGAUUUGUCUGGUCUUUUCCAUGAGCAGAAAACAAAGCUUGGCUCCGAGCAUUCAAUAGAUGAAACACUGGAAAAAAUUGAGGUCGCUGCGAAGGAUGUAAGCCUAUAUGCAGAAAGGAUGAGAAAUUCUAAGGUGAAACUUCACCGUAACAAAAGUUUAACAAGAAGUCGGUCCCCCUCUACUCUAUCAGCAGAGGUGUUUGAGGUGACACCAAUUCAUUGUGUUGUAGAAAUAUCAAAAUCUGCAGGAGAUCUAACAGCAUACAAAGAGACUUUCAUAAACAGUUUUGCGAAAGCUUAUCGAGCCUGCUCAGGCAGAGCUCUGCUGGUAGUUCAUCAGAAUUGCAGGCAUCUGAGGCUGAUGAAAAGGCUAGAAAGGAGUUGAUUUUUAGCAAUGAAACAACAACAGGAAUGGAGUAAGCAGUUUUCUAUAUCGAGGCCUGAUCCCUACUGACCCAAGUUCCAUGCAAAGAAGCAUGGCUGUUUGAAAGUUGCCAGGAUUUGAAGAUGAUAUGAACGGUAUUCAAAUUAUUCCAGCUAACACUUAGAAUAGGCAGCAAGGGAAGAACCGGAAGACGGCCGAGCCAACCCGAAAGCAGUAUGCCGGAAUCCUGCCACCCGCCAACGCAAAUACUGGUCAGCCCAGGCAGGGUUUGGGCCAAAGCAUCACAACUACAACCCGUCAUUUCCUAUUACCGCCGUCUCAUGAAUAAUCCCAUCAGCCUCCCUCGGAGAAGCAGUAUCAGCCUGUAUAGGAUAUACACUGUGUUACCCUUCCCAUCAAAUGGAAGGCCGUGCGAUAAAACAAUGUUACAUGAUGAAAGACUUGAACUAUGAUUUGAAUGAUGGAAUUGAUCCAAAAUUAACCCGACUUCUGAUC